CCUACGGGAGGCAGCAGUGAGGAAUAUUGGUCAAUGGGCGCGAGCCUGAACCAGCCAAGUCGCGUGAGGGAUGACGGUCCUACGGAUUGUAAACCUCUUUUGCCGGGGAGCAAGCGUGCGUUCGUGAACGCACGUCGAGAGUACCCGGAGAAAAAGGAUCGACCAACACCGUGCCAGCAGCCGCGGUAAUACGGAGGAUGCGAGCGUUAUCCGGAUUUAUUGGGUUUAAAGGGGGCGUAGGCGGGUGGCAAAGUAAGCGGUAAAAAUGCGGUGCUCAACGCCGUCGAGCCGUUGAAACUGGCGAUCUUGAGUGGGCGAGAAGUAGGCGGAAUGCGUGGUGUAGCGGUGAAAUGCAUAGAUAUCACGCAGAACUCCGAUUGCGAAGGCAGCAUACCGGCGCCCUACUGACGCUGAGGCACGAAAGCGUGGGUAUCGAACAGGAUUAGAUACCCUUGUAGUC
RNAcentral lists this ribosomal RNA (460 nucleotides) under uncultured bacterium. Its description in RNAcentral is "partial 16S ribosomal RNA". It matches the Rfam family "Bacterial small subunit ribosomal RNA", at positions 338 to 795 of the family's 1533-position model. The record is from RNAcentral.